RNAcentral lists this transfer RNA (72 nucleotides) under Marmota monax (woodchuck). It matches the Rfam family "tRNA". Rfam says of the family: Transfer RNA (tRNA) molecules are approximately 80 nucleotides in length. The record is from Rfam by way of RNAcentral. Lineage: Eukaryota; Metazoa; Chordata; Mammalia; Rodentia; Sciuridae.
UGGGGUGUGGCUCAGCGGUAGAGCGCUUGCCUCACACAUGUGAGACCCUGGGUUCAAUCCUCAGCACCACAU